AUGUCAAGGAAGCCUACAACUAGCCACCACCUCCGUUCUCUUCCUAAUGGCAUCGUUUGUCAUGUUCGUCGUUGUUUAUAUGGCCCUAAGCAAACCCCUCAUGCUUGCUUUGAGCGCUUCGUCUCAGUGGUGAUUGCGGCUAGUUUUUGGCGAGUGCUAAUUAUCCUACACUUUCAGUCCACCAUUCAACUCGUGGUCAAACACUUCUUCUACAUGUCGAUCAUCACUGGCACCAGGAUCAUCACUAGCAACGUCCACCUUUGUGACCACCUUCGCUCCCUACCAGUCUUGAUGGGCAUCCUUUGCCUUUCUACGGGUUGCUACAAGCACUGUCUCAAUCCCACAUCUUCUGUUCCCUUUAUGUGUGACACCAUAACCGAACGCUCGAGCACCACCAAUGGGGAGCAGGAGCUCGGACAGUCAAUGCGUACAUGGAUUAUGCACGAGACGGGCCGAGGACAGGCGCUACCAAAAGUCAAGGCCACGGGCGCACAGUACGAGAACCCGGGGUGCUUAAUCAAGCACGUGGCACAACCCGCAAACAGGAAAGGAACACCUGGCUAG
RNAcentral lists this ribosomal RNA (564 nucleotides) under Triticum aestivum (bread wheat). RNAcentral describes it as "partial small subunit ribosomal RNA". Lineage: Eukaryota; Viridiplantae; Streptophyta; Magnoliopsida; Poales; Poaceae. The record is from RNAcentral.